GAUCCUGGCUCAGGAUGAACGCUAGCUACAGGCUUAACACAUGCAAGUCGAGGGGCAGCAUUUUAGUUUGCUUGCAAACUAAAGAUGGCGACCGGCGCACGGGUGAGUAACACGUAUCCAACCUGCCGAUAACUCUGGGAUAGCCUUUCGAAAGAAAGAUUAAUACCGGAUGGCAUAGGAUUAUCGCAUGAUAAUCCUAUUAAAGAAUUUCGGUUAUCGAUGGGGAUGCGUUCAUUAGG
RNAcentral lists this ribosomal RNA (239 nucleotides) under uncultured bacterium. RNAcentral describes it as "partial 16S ribosomal RNA". It matches the Rfam family "Bacterial small subunit ribosomal RNA", at positions 15 to 245 of the family's 1533-position model. The record is from RNAcentral.